AACGAACGCUGGCGGCGUGGAUAAGACAUGCAAGUCGAGCGCUCAUUCGUUUGCAGCAAUGUACACGAGUGGGAGCGGCGCAAGGGUGCGUAACGCGUGGGUAAUUUGCCGUGAAGUUGGGAAUAACUCCGAGAAAUCGGAGCUAAUGCCGAAUGUGGUUGCCUGGGGGCAUCUCCGGGUUACUAAAGUUGGGGACCGAAAGGCCUGACGCUUCACGAUAAGCCCGCGCCCUAUCAGCUAGUUGGUGAGGUAACGGCCCACCAAGGCUAAGACGGGUAGCUGGUCUGAGAGGACGACCAGCCACACUGGAACUGAGACACGGUCCAGACACCUACGGGUGGCAG
Molecule: ribosomal RNA, 344 nt
Filed under: uncultured Verrucomicrobiota bacterium
Lineage: Bacteria; Pseudomonadati; Verrucomicrobiota
Description: bacterial SSU rRNA
Rfam family: Bacterial small subunit ribosomal RNA
Source: RNAcentral